This 103-nucleotide small RNA is filed under the name bovine gut metagenome. RNAcentral's name for it is "RT-5 RNA". It matches the Rfam family "RT-5 RNA". From Rfam's summary of the family: Clostridium (Firmicutes). Environment (Cow rumen (57)) The record is from RNAcentral.
UUGCGCCUGCGGCGGACCCGGCACGAGGCUUUAAAAAGCUUCGCAGGCAGCGCCUUAGUGUACGGCCCGGUACAUCCCAGAAUUUUCUGGGCUUUAAAGUCUU